This 77-nucleotide transfer RNA is filed under the name Bacteroidales bacterium. Its description in RNAcentral is "tRNA-Met". It matches the Rfam family "tRNA". Rfam says of the family: Transfer RNA (tRNA) molecules are approximately 80 nucleotides in length. Their secondary structure includes four short double-helical elements and three loops (D, anti-codon, and T loops). Further hydrogen bonds mediate the characteristic L-shaped molecular structure. tRNAs have two regions of fundamental functional importance: the anti-codon, which is responsible for specific mRNA codon recognition, and the 3' end, to which the tRNAs corresponding amino acid is attached (by aminoacyl-tRNA synthetases). tRNAs cope with the degeneracy of the genetic code in two manners: having more than one tRNA (with a specific anti-codon) for a particular amino acid; and 'wobble' base-pairing, i.e. permitting non-standard base-pairing at the 3rd anti-codon position. Lineage: Bacteria; Pseudomonadati; Bacteroidota; Bacteroidia; Bacteroidales. The record is from RNAcentral.
GGGCCUAUAGCUCAGUUGGUUAGAGCAACGGACUCAUAACCCGUGGGUCACUGGUUCAAGCCCAGUUGGGCCCACCC